UACGGAGGGAGCUAGCGUUGUUCGGAAUUACUGGGCGUAAAGCGCACGUAGGCGGCUUUUUAAGUCAGGGGUGAAAUCCCGGGGCUCAACCCCGGAACUGCCCUUGAAACUGGAGAGCUAGAAUCUUGGAGAGGCGAGUGGAAUUCCGAGUGUAGAGGUGAAAUUCGUAGAUAUUCGGAAGAACACCAGUGGCGAAGGCGACUCGCUGGACAAGUAUUGACGCUGAGGUGCGAAAGCGUGGGGAGCAAGCAGG
This 253-nucleotide ribosomal RNA is filed under the name uncultured bacterium. RNAcentral's name for it is "partial 16S ribosomal RNA". It matches the Rfam family "Bacterial small subunit ribosomal RNA", at positions 524 to 776 of the family's 1533-position model. The record is from RNAcentral.